AUCUACGGUCAUGCCACCCUGAACACACCUAAUCUCGUCUGACCUUGGAAGCUAAGCAGGAUCGGGCCUGAUUAGUACUUGGAUAGGAGAUCACCUAGGAUUACCAGGUGUUGUAGAAA
This 119-nucleotide ribosomal RNA is filed under the name Pteropus alecto (black flying fox). Lineage: Eukaryota; Metazoa; Chordata; Mammalia; Chiroptera; Pteropodidae. The record is from RNAcentral.